Molecule: non-coding RNA, 28 nt
Filed under: Mus musculus (house mouse)
Lineage: Eukaryota; Metazoa; Chordata; Mammalia; Rodentia; Muridae
Source: RNAcentral
UAUCUGGUGUUGCUGAGUUGACAGAUGA